RNA transcript from Asparagus officinalis (garden asparagus), 1643 nucleotides. It is a transcript of the gene named beta-glucosidase 18-like, with no coding region annotated. The transcript is spliced from 4 exons. The record is from RefSeq and is a predicted model, not a curated record. Lineage: Eukaryota; Viridiplantae; Streptophyta; Magnoliopsida; Asparagales; Asparagaceae.
UCAUUCAUACAUAUUGCUAAAACUGCAUGUUAUUAUUCAAUGGCUUAAACACAUACAGAGUCUUAUGACAAGGCCUGAUAAUGACACGUAUGGACCAAACUAUGCAGCUUCUCAUUACCACCAGUUUCCAUCUUUUGCUUUUAUUAAUCGAUCGUCUACUGAUUUCCCUUUUACUGUAACUUUAAACAUUACCUUCGACAAAAUGUACAAAAUUCUGAGUUCACUGUCACUAGCCUGUGAAUUCUUAACACAUUCAACAAGCAACGCAUGACAUAUUAACUUUCGUGUGAUACUUGAUUUUUCCUUCAACAAUAUCCACCCCUAAUCUCUAUAUAAACCUCACUGCAUUAAGCUCGAAAUAACAUAGAAGAUAUAAAGUGCCUGCAGGAUAACUUAACAAAGAUUUAGGAGCUGCACAAAUUAAAGGGUGGGUUUUGAAAUAUGGAGUUGAAGAAGGUUUUCGCAUUUGGUUUGCUUUUUGAGCUCAUAUCUCUGGCUACUGGCCUGGAUCGAAGUGAUUUCCCUUCUUCAUUUCUCUUCGGCACUGCAACUUCAUGCUAUCAGAAAAUAAAGUUAAUAAUUUCUUUGCGAGCGGGUUUUGUGCACCGCAUUUUCUUUGAUAAGAAUGAGCUGGAGGUUUUCUACCCGCGAUGCAUCGUUAAAGUUGCCAAAGUUGCUCAAAAUACCUACGGGUGUGACUUCAUGUAUGAGAAACUUUUGAGCACGGAUUUGUUUACAACAGAAUGAUAUUACUUAUUUUAUUAGCCACAAAUUAAUUAAACACUUCAAGUGCUUUUUUUAGCAUACAUUUGGCAGUCCAUAUAAAUUCCAGGAUGGCUUUGGGAUAUCAAUUUACAGACACAUCCUGCUACAACCUCGUAUACAAACGUUUGUAUUCGAAAAGUAUUCGAAGAUAUUAAUUUUCAGGAGUGCUCACCUAGUUAUUUUGUUUUUUUCCCAGAUUGAAGGUGGAUAUCUAGAAGGCAACAAAAGUCUGAACAAUUGGGACGUCUUUACUCACAUGCCAGGAAAUAUCAAGGAUGGGAGCACUGGAGAUGUUGCUGAUGAUCACUUCCACCGAUACAUGGUCCACAUUUUAAUCAUACCAUAUAGACAUAAAUUAUUUAAUCAAGUUCUUGUUACAUGAUAUUCUCUGAGUUUUUGCCCCUUUUUUCCUCAAAGAUUCUGUCAUCUGCCGCCCCCAGAUAUUUUGCUAGGCUAUAAUUGCAGAUCUCGUCAAAAUUUAGAAUUUAGCUGGCUGAAAAAAUCAAAAGAGGUUUUGAUGUAGGGGAUAUAAAGACUUAAAUAGGAGAAUGCGGUCAAGAUGGCUUUGAUAUAUGAAUCUUUUGAACCGAAAUUGAUGAAAGCCAAGAUUGAGAUUGAUACUGACAGGUUCCUAGUGAGUAUUUGACAUUGAGGAACAAGUUUUUGGAAACAAAUAGAGAAUAUAGUCUUUGACCGAGAAGUUUCAUGUUUUGUAAUCAAAUGUUGAUGUACAUUGUUUGAAUGUUAGUUCGGUACGAUAUUUUCUGAGUUGAAAUGUUGGUAGUGUGGAUUUAAUACUUUGUAGUUUUUAUACUAUACUGAUGUAUGUUGGCACUUAUCAUUAUGGUUGAUUAUGCUCAACAUAAUCACUUUUAUAU